AAAAAUCUUUUAAAAACU
This 18-nucleotide small RNA is filed under the name Arabidopsis thaliana (thale cress). Its description in RNAcentral is "ATSL182740". Lineage: Eukaryota; Viridiplantae; Streptophyta; Magnoliopsida; Brassicales; Brassicaceae. The record is from RNAcentral.